GAGUUUGAUUCUGGCUCAGGAUGAACGCUGGCGGCGUGCCUAAUACAUGCAAGUCGAGCGAGAAUUUCACAAGUGGAGACUUCGGUCAAAGCGAGUGAAAGGAAAGCGGCGGACGGGUGAGUAAUGCGUGGGUAACCUGCCCUUUAGAGAGGGAUAGCAGUUGGAAACGGCUAUUAAUACCUCAUAAGCGCACAGUUUCGCAUGAAACGGUGUGAAAAGAUUUAUCGCUAAAGGAUGGACCCAUGUCCGAUUAGUUAGUUGGUGAGGUAACGGCUCACCAAGACCGCGAUCGGUAGCCGACCUGAGAGGGUGAUCGGCCACAUUGGGACUGAGACACGGCCCAAACUCCUACGGGAGGCAGCAGUAGGGAAUAUUGCACAAUGGGGGAAACCCUGAUGCAGCAACGCCGCGUGAACGAUGAAGGAUUUCGAUC
Molecule: ribosomal RNA, 433 nt
Filed under: Peptostreptococcaceae bacterium canine oral taxon 168
Lineage: Bacteria; Bacillati; Bacillota; Clostridia; Peptostreptococcales; Peptostreptococcaceae
Description: bacterial SSU rRNA
Rfam family: Bacterial small subunit ribosomal RNA
Source: RNAcentral